AUGUUUGGGCAGCGCGUGGGGUUCCUCAAGUUCAAAGCCGACAUCGUCGACGAGGAAACCAAAGCCAAGAUUCCAGGGAUUGUCUUUGCAAGAGGGCCUGCUGUUGCUGUGUUGAUUCUUUUGGAGUCCAAAGGGCAAACUUAUGCUGUUCUCACUGAACAGAAACGGGUUGUUGCCCACAGCACUCUGCGGCGACGUCUUCUUCUCCUCUCUUCGCGGGUGCUCGCCUGUCCAUGCUGCCACCCAUCAAUGUUGACAAGCCACCAUCUAAAAGGUUGUCCGAGGAGAAACUGCUGGUUUCGAACGCUAGCAAGCUCCUGGCAUGGACAAGACAGAAGUGGGAAGGCUAUUGCUGCUCCAUGCUCCCGGCUUGACUUAAAUAUAUGGACCUGA
Molecule: ribosomal RNA, 393 nt
Filed under: Triticum aestivum (bread wheat)
Lineage: Eukaryota; Viridiplantae; Streptophyta; Magnoliopsida; Poales; Poaceae
Description: partial small subunit ribosomal RNA
Source: RNAcentral